Molecule: ribosomal RNA, 423 nt
Filed under: uncultured bacterium
Lineage: Bacteria
Description: partial 16S ribosomal RNA
Rfam family: Bacterial small subunit ribosomal RNA
Source: RNAcentral
GAAUAUUGGACAAUGGGCGAAAGCCUGAUCCAGCCAUGCCGCGUGUGUGAAGAAGGUCUUCGGAUUGUAAAGCACUUUAAGUUGGGAGGAAGGGCAGUAAGCGAAUACCUUGCUGUUUUGACGUUACCGACAGAAUAAGCACCGGCUAACUCUGUGCCAGCAGCCGCGGUAAUACAGCGGGUGCAAGCGUUAAUCGGAAUUACUGGGCGUAAAGGCGGGGGAGGUGGUUCGGUAAGUUGGAUGGGAAAUGCCCGGGCCCAACAUGGGAAAUGCAUCCAAAACUGGCGAGCUAGAGUAGGGCAGAGGGUGGUGGAAAUUCCUGUGGAGCGGUGAAAUGCGUAGAUAUAGGAAGGAACACCAGUGGCGAAGGCGACCACCUGGGCUCAUACUGACACUGAGGUGCGAAAGCGUGGGGAGCAAACA